AUUUACCGGGGCUAAGCAUGUUACCGAAAUUGUGGAUUCGACCGUAAGGUCGAGUGAUAGGAGAGCGUUCUAAGGGCAACGAAGCAAGAUCGCAAGGACUUGUGGAGCGCUUAGAAGUGAGAAUGCCGGUAUGAGUAGCGAAAGAUCAGUGAGAAUCUGAUCCACCGAAUGACUAAGGUUUCCUGGGGAAGGCUCGUCCUCCCAGGGUUAGUCGGGACCUAAGCCGAGGCCGUAAGGCGUAGGCGAUGGAUAACAGGUUGAUAUUCCUGUACUAGUUAAUCAUGUUUGAACGAUGGAGGGACG
Molecule: ribosomal RNA, 303 nt
Filed under: Bradyrhizobium aeschynomenes
Lineage: Bacteria; Pseudomonadati; Pseudomonadota; Alphaproteobacteria; Hyphomicrobiales; Nitrobacteraceae
Description: partial 23S ribosomal RNA
Rfam family: Bacterial large subunit ribosomal RNA
Source: RNAcentral